GGAAGUAUCUUCGUUAAACUAUUUGAUAAAGCACUAUUAUUAAAUCAAUAUUUUACACAGCACUAACACCGCAUUCCUGCUACAUUAGACUGUGCACCCAACAUGAAAACCUGGAUUGUAAUCCUUCCUUAGUUACCAUUGCCACACAUCAAACAUGGCCUCGUGGAUGCCUGACGCAUGCGCAAAAGACCUGUCCAUACUGCGCAUGUGCCAAGUGGUCUUCCCCUUCGGAACGCAUGCGCCUUGCGUGUUACGUCAUCCCGUACUGCUCGUUACAGGUGACCGGCUGGUUUCGUGCUCGCCUCAGUCACCAUCCUUAUGGCAUAAUAGGUGAUUAGAUUUUCGUUGCGCACAGUUUCUUCCAUCCAGGAAUGGGUUAGCGGUGAUUAUAAAAACCUCACAGAUCGGCCAGUCAGCCUUCAGUGCUCACUUAUGUAUGAUAUUUCCACCGAAUCAAACAGGUGGCUCCGUGGCGCAAUGGAUAGCGCAUUGGACUUCUAGCGGAGGAAGGUAUUCAAAGGUUCCGGGUUCGAGUCCCGGCGGAGUCGUGGGGUUCUUUUUAUUUAUUAGGAGAUAGGGGAAAAACUAUGGAGAACUGUGCUUUUAUUUGUGAACAUAAUUAUUACAAUGUGUGUAAAUAAAAUUGUGCAUAUGAAAAGCAUG
Molecule: non-coding RNA, 663 nt
Organism: Pelobates cultripes (western spadefoot toad)
Lineage: Eukaryota; Metazoa; Chordata; Amphibia; Anura; Pelobatidae
Source: the annotation of a GenBank genome assembly